GAUGAACGCUGGCGGCGUGCCUAAUACAUGCAAGUCGAGCGAACGGACGAGAAGCUUGCUUCUCUGAUGUUAGCGGCGGACGGGUGAGUAACACGUGGAUAACCUACCUAUAAGACUGGGAUAACUUCGGGAAACCGGAGCUAAUACCGGAUAAUAUUUUGAACCGCAUGGUUCAAAAGUGAAAGACGGUCUUGCUGUCACUUAUAGAUGGAUCCGCGCUGCAUUAGCUAGUUGGUAAGGUAACGGCUUACCAAGGCAACGAUGCAUAGCCGACCUGAGAGGGUGAUCGGCCACACUGGAACUGUGACACGGUCCAGACUCCUACGGGAGGCAGCAGUAGGGAAUCUUCCGCAAUGGGCGAAAGCCUGACGGAGCAACGCCGCGUGAGUGAUGAAGGUCUUCGGAUCGUAAAACUCUGUUAUUAGGGAAGAACAUAUGUGUAAGUAACUGUGCACAUCUUGACGGUAACUAAUCAGAAAGCCACGGCUAACUACGUG
This 497-nucleotide ribosomal RNA is filed under the name uncultured bacterium. RNAcentral's name for it is "partial 16S ribosomal RNA". It matches the Rfam family "Bacterial small subunit ribosomal RNA", at positions 28 to 507 of the family's 1533-position model. The record is from RNAcentral.